AGAGUUUGAUCAUGGCUCAGAUUGAACGCUGGCGGCGUGCUUAACACAUGCAAGUCGAGCGGUAACAGGUGUAGCAAUACAUGCUGACGAGCGGCGAACGGGUGAGUAAUGCUUCGGAAUCUUCCUCGUAGUGGGGAAUAACCUGGGGAAACUCAGGCUAAUACCGCAUACGAACUACGGUUGAAAGCAGGGGAUCGCAAGACCUUGCGCUAUGAGAUGAGCCGAAGUCGGAUUAGCUAGUUGGUAGGGUAACGGCCUACCAAGGCGACGAUCCGUAGCUGGUCUGAGAGGACGACCAGCCACACUGGGACUGAGACACGGCCCAGACUCCUACGGGAGGCAGCAGUGGGGAAUAUUGGACAAUGGGGGCAACCCUGAUCCAGCGACGCCGCGUGUGUGAAGAAGGCCUGCGGGUUGUAAAGCACUUUUAGUGGGGACAAAAAGCCGAGGGUUAAUACCUUUCGGUCUUGAUUUAACCCAAAGAAAAAGCACCGGCUAACUCUGUGCCAGCAGCCGCGGUAAUACAGAGGGUGCAAGCGUUAAUCGGAAUUACUGGGCGUAAAGCGUGCGUAGUCGGUUAUUUAAGUCGGAUGUGAAAUCCCCGGGCUCAACCUGGGAAUUGCAUUCGAUACUGGAUAGCUAGAGUUCGGCAGAGGGAAGUGGAAUUUCGGGUGUAGCGGUGAAAUGCGUAGAUAUCCGAAGGAACAUCAGUGGCGAAAGCGACUUCCUGGACCAGAACUGACGAUCAGGCACGAAAGCGUGGGGAGCAAACAGGAUUAGAUACCCUAGUAGUCC
Molecule: ribosomal RNA, 795 nt
Filed under: uncultured bacterium
Lineage: Bacteria
Description: bacterial SSU rRNA
Rfam family: Bacterial small subunit ribosomal RNA
Source: RNAcentral